UGGCUCAGUCAGUAAAGAAUCUGCCUGCAAUGCAGAAGACCCGGGUUUGAUUCCCGG
Molecule: transfer RNA, 57 nt
Filed under: Bos taurus (domestic cattle)
Lineage: Eukaryota; Metazoa; Chordata; Mammalia; Artiodactyla; Bovidae
Also listed under: 1 other name
Rfam family: tRNA
About the family: Transfer RNA (tRNA) molecules are approximately 80 nucleotides in length. Their secondary structure includes four short double-helical elements and three loops (D, anti-codon, and T loops).
Source: Rfam by way of RNAcentral